UUUGGAUUAGGGAUGUGCAAAGACUUUGUUCAGUUCUGACAGAUUCUGUGACAGAGUACGUAUUUGGCUGCCACAAAGUCAUGUUGUGGUGUAGGCUUCAAAGUGAGUUUUUGGGAAAGAAUGAGGAUCAGUUUGGAAUCGGUCAUCUUAUUACUUAUAGUACUAUCACAUAGGUCAUGGCCACAUUCCUUAGCUUCUCAAGCCAUACUCAAAUUUUCAGCAAGUGACUGCUGAGUAUCUAGAACGUGCCAGGAGCCAUUCUAGGCUUGGACUAAGAUUCAGCCCUUGAGAAGCCUGUCUGUUAUCUGGGAAGACUGCAAACAAACACUAUACAAAGCUGGAUAAUAGGGAGUAUAUGCUGUGGGUGUGCUAUUUUACAUGGAAUGACUAGAGAGGAUCUUGAAGAAGAGAUGACAUUUGGGUGAGUCAGGGAAGGUAUUUAAGAGAAUAAUGUCCCAAGCAGUGGAACAUCAAGUCCAAAUGCAAGAGUGUACCUGGCAUGCUUCGGGAACAGUAUGUGGCUAAUGCCUGAUGCCCUUGAGUGGAGAUAACAAGAGAGAGUGGAAGAAAAUGAGUUCAGAAAGGGAGCAGGGAGUCACAGGUAAAUGAUGUAUUCAUAGGAUGCUGAGCUGUGAGGUGGCGUGAUCUUAACUGUUUCAUAAAAGGACCACUUUGGCUGCUGUCCUAGAUUUAAGAUUUGUUUAUUUGAGAGGAAGAUUUAAAGACAGAGGGAGAGACAGAGUGAGGUCAUCCAUCCACUAGUUUACUCCCCAAAUGGCCGCAAUGGCCAAAACUGGGCCAAUUUGAAGCCAGGAGCCAUGAUCUUCUUCGGGGUGUCUCAUGUAGGUUCAGGGGACUAAGCACUUGAGCCAUCUUCUACUGCUGUCCCGGGCCAUAAAUAGAGAGCUGGAUCAGAAGAAGAGCACCUGGGACAUGAACUGGCACCCAUAUGGAAUGCCAAUGCUGCAGGUGGAGGCUUACCUACUAAGCAGAGUGCCAGCACCUCUAUCAGUGUAUUUUUUAAAACUGACUAACAAGUCCUUAUUUAUAGCCAGAAUCAAGGCCAGAUUGACAAAUGGGAGUGGUCAGGACAAAGGAGAGGGAGAAGUGUGGUCAGUGAGGAAACAAUCAGACAGGAGAGCUGUGUUGCAGAUUUUAACUGACGGAAAUGUCUGAAGAGGGAGGAGGUGUCUAGUCUAAUACUGCCGAGUGGAAGGAAUGACGGUGUAUGUCCGUCUAUGUGGAGAGCACUGUUCACCCAGAGCAGAUGCGAUGGAGAGGUGAGGAUGAAAGACUGAUUGAGGAGCUACAAGAGAGGAGAGAAGUAGAGAGAGCAAGAUCACCUCUAUCCAGAGCCCUUGUGCUAUUUGGGAGCAGAGGAAUGGGUAGGAAGUGGAACAGGAUGUGUAGUUGAAAGAGGAGGAAUUUUUAUCUCUUUUUAUAGGAGUUCUUAAAGUAUAUUUGCAUCAUCAUGAGACUUAUCCAGUAAUUAGGAAGGGAUUGAUCGGGCAAGAGAAAAGAAUGUUCCAACAGAUUGUCUUUAAUGGCGGCCGAGGUACUUGAUGCCAGUGCAGAAGUGAGGUGGGUAGCUGUGGACUGGAGCCUAAGCAGGGCUUUCCCAGGUAAUGGGAGAGAAGGCAGUGUGAGGUGCAGCCUCAGGAAGGUGACAAGUGAUGGUGGAAGUGUUUCUCAGAUGAACUUUGCCUUUCUUCUGGGUUGGGUAGAAUAGGCAGCCAGGGAAGGGUUUGUGUUAGACUUCUGAGGGAAGGAAAUACCUGGAGUCUAGGAGGAAGGGGAAGUGAAUGGACCAGGACCCCACAAUAUUAGUGGCCUUGAAUUUAAUGUGUGCUGGUUGGUUAACACUCUCCUGUAAUGUUCUCUUUCGACCAUCAGCAGUGUGGGUACUGAUUCAGUAUAUGUGAAAUGAGUCAUCAAGAGAAUUUAUUUUUACUGGGGUUCAGGUCUAGCAAAUGAAUACAACAAACAAGACAGGAGUGAGAUUUCUGGGUGAAUAGAAGGAAGCACUAACAGUGAUGAACCAUGUAAUCUCACAUUGAUGAGAGAACACUUAGGACAGGAAGCAGAUGAGAGCAGGUGUUCAGUAAGUAUAAUUCUGGUCUAAAUGGGGUUGAAGAAUAACUGGAGUCUGGAGACCAGUAUGUUGGAAAGAUAAAAGCUGAUGGCCAGGAAGGAGAUUGCUUAAAAGUGAGUUUAUUGAGAAGGUACAGAGUUUUGGUCAUCUAUAUGUGUAUGACCGUGGGUGAGAGAGAUUGGAAUGGUGAAGGAGUCAGGGGGAACCGAACAGAGAGACCAGGCGAUUGGACGGCUUCCUACGAAGAUACCAAAACCACCAGGAUCCAUGGUGGAGAGAAGAUUGAAGAGAAUGACCAAUCCUGUUCAGACCUUUGAGAUUUUAGUUCUUUCUGUAAUUUGAUAUGGGCCCUGUGUUGAACAUGCGAGGAAUGGAUGUCUUCUCCCAUGCUCUGAACUGUCUCUUUGUUCGUAGCAAGAAGAAGACACAAAAUGAGAACAAAACUUGAUUUUAUCUCAGAAGGGAAGCAGAGUGUCAUGGUUACAAGAAACACAACUCGGGACAUAAAAUGCACCAUUUAUGUGAAUCCCAAGGGUCUUCUGCCAAGUAAGCAAUCUUUCAAACUCUCAAGUCUUGUGUAAAUUACUUCUGUAUAGAGCGAUUUCUAGAAUAGCCAACUUGAACAAAUGCUUUCUAGCAACACAAAAAUCCAUCUGACAAAAGACAGUGAUGUGAGAGAGAAGCCACAUCAUCUUGUUUCCAGCCCUUUUUUGGAGAACUGAGGGAACACUUAAUGGCAAUUUCACCUGGAAGCUUAAUUUUAACUGAGGAACUCCAGGAUGUCACACAGUAGGCAAGAAAACCAAGACAGCCAAGUAUUAGAAGUUUUUCUAGAAAGAUCCACACCAAUGGGCAAUUAAUAAGGCAUGAUUGAGAGGAAACAGAGGAGAACAUAAUGUUAAAAAAGGAAAUAUAGAGAAGUAAGAAUGAAAAGGGAGGAAACUCAUUUAGCUCGUUUUUAUAAGGGAAACAAAAAUGGAAUUAGAACCUUUUAGUAAAAAUACUUUCAAAACUAAAUCCAUUUUCUAGACUUCCUAUGACAAUUAAUUAAAAAGAAA
Non-coding RNA from Oryctolagus cuniculus (rabbit), 3150 nucleotides. The record is from RefSeq and is a predicted model, not a curated record. NCBI's taxonomy places the organism in Eukaryota, Metazoa, Chordata, Mammalia, Lagomorpha, Leporidae.